Molecule: long non-coding RNA, 2272 nt
Organism: Triticum aestivum (bread wheat)
Lineage: Eukaryota; Viridiplantae; Streptophyta; Magnoliopsida; Poales; Poaceae
Exons: 5
Source: RefSeq, a predicted model, not a curated record
CGCUGAAAUUGCUGCCCCGCACGAGGGUUUCUUCCGCCGCCGCCGUCCCUCCACCCUGUGGUACCCGUCCUCGAUCCGUGAUCACCAAAUCUGGACGAGAUCGGCAGGAUCCGCCGCAUGUCCCGCGACACCUAGCCGCAGCUGCUCGUCGGCCAUGCGGGGAGCAUGGACGAGCUGCUCGUCGACGUCCAUCCCGCAGCCCCGCUGACGACCGUGCCCAGCCUCCUCGACAGCGCGCCUCUCCAACUUGCCGCAUGCCAAAUUUUAGUAGGGGAAGGAUGGAUACCGCAAGGCUUUCAUAUGUGUUUUGAUUUUGCCGAUAGGGAUUUCUAAUAUUCUGACAAGAGUCAAACUAGCAAUCGUGAAGAUGGAGAAUUCAUGCAACUCCAUCUUACUUCAACCCUCAGCCAUCUAAUUGGUGGUAUGGUGUGCUUCUGAUGGUAUUUCACGGCGUUUGUACCAGCAGCAUAGUAAAAAAACUCCCGUCAACACGGCUUAUUUAUCGUUUCUGGAGGGCCUCACAGAUGAGCUAUUCAUCGGCGGCACCCUGCCAGUCAUUUAGAGGAUCUGCGGGAACAAAUAAACAAGCAGAGCGUCAUCAGUCAGGGACCAACAUCCAUGCCAACUGCCCAAGAUGACUGCUAAGGCAAUUAAUAUUCUCUCUCAAUCUUCAGCCACCAUCUGAUGUUAAUUGAUCUUGAUCUUCUCCACUCGCCAAUUCUGAAGACACUUCGGAUCUCACAUUAACUUCAUUCAGUCUUUAAGAAUAAUCAAAGACAUAUGGAUCUCAAAGCUAUGGAUCAUGCGCCCAUACAAAAAAGGACAACUGACUAGAUUGAUGAUACGUUAUGGCAAGAAGGCUAUAUAUUCAUGGGUGCAAACGGGGCCAGUGAGUAGGCGGCGAGUAUACUACGCCGAGAAGCGAUACAGGGGCAUGAAUCUUGAGCCGGUGUGCGCAACGACCUGCGCUACUGCACUAAUAGCCUUGACAGAGCACUAGGGCCGGCUCGACAGGGCAUGCAGCCCGCCGGUGGACGCCUGAAUGUGCGCGACGGAGAUGAACCCCGCGUCGUCGCCUCUGUAGCCUGGACAGAGCUCCGCCAGUGCUCGUGAUGAACCCCAUGUAUGUGCUGGUGAUGGCGCUCUCCGUCUACUUUCUCCACCGGCUAUCAGAGAGUAGAGAUCACAUUGUGGAUUUGUGCUUUCUUCAGAGAUGUGCUCCUGUCGUUGUUGGUUGUCAAAUUUGUGAUGCAAUCCGUCCCUAUGUCGAUGUCUUAACCACUUCGUACUACCGCACAAUUAGCAGAACAGAGCAGAUGCCGCAGUUUACCCAUUGAUUUCUUGGAGUGAUUCAAACCUAGGAAAGCCUGCUACUUGUGCAAGCAACAGGGUAAGAAGUUUCACUUUUCUUACUAAUGCACCUCAAUUUGUAAGGUUAGAACAAUGUCAGAUUACUUUAUGUUGGUUUUCAAAUUUCUACAUAUUCCUUUCUUAUAGACUUUGCCUUCAAGCAAUUCUAAUUAUCUAGGUAGUAUGGAAAGCAGGCAAAUUAUGUAUCUAUUUGGGUGUACUCGUGCUCUGCUAUGUCAAAUUGAGGAGAAAUAAUUAUUUUAUUCACCCAUCCUAUUUUUUAUCUAUAAUGAUGAUCAUUUUUCCAUGUUGUGAUCUUUGCUCCAGUUGUGCUAAUACCAUGUUUAUCAUGUUUACCAUGUUUUAUCUUAAAAAUUGGCUUCUAUUUUGUUUCUAACCUAUAUCUCAGCAUGGUUACUUUCUCCAAACAUGCUUUAGCUGCAGCAUUGGUCAACUGGCUUGAGCACAGCUCACAUGAGUCAUCGCCAAAUGACCCUUUUCUGAAAUUCACUGAGAGAGGAGUUACUCCAUGUCAGUAUGUACAUACAGAUGCAAGCAAUGGAUAAACUCAUGAAGACCAUGUCUAUUAGUCCUUCAGUAUUUUUUGGAAUGAGAUGACACGUUGUAUGCCAGGUAACAAGCAACUGAAGCAAGGGAAAGAAUGAGCCCCUGAACCCAGGAUGCAUGGCGAAGGAUCCAAUAUGUCAGGACCAAUGAGGGAAUUGCAGAGCUUCAUAUACAUUUGCCUUCUUCAAGUGUCUAGAUUACAUUAAACAUGUUUCUUCAAGUGUCUACACACUACAGGAAAUAAGUUUCUUAUGGAAGUAGUCAAACCUGGAUACCAAUUCAUUGGAACCAUUAUAUUCCUUAUAGAAGUAAUGCAAUAUAUUCUCUCUCUUGUGCCUACUUGAAAUACCGUUGU